Molecule: ribosomal RNA, 253 nt
Filed under: uncultured bacterium
Lineage: Bacteria
Description: partial 16S ribosomal RNA
Rfam family: Bacterial small subunit ribosomal RNA
Source: RNAcentral
UACAGAGGUGGCAAGCGUUGUUCGGAAUUACUGGGCGUAAAGGGCGCGUAGGCGGUCUUGUAAGUCUUGUGUGAAAUCCCACGGCUUAACUGAGGAACUGCACGGGAUACUGCGAGACUUGAGAUCGGGAGAGGGAAGCGGAAUUCCGGGUGUAGCGGUGAAAUGCGUAGAUAUCCGGAGGAACACCGGUGGCGAAGGCGGCUUCCUGGACCGACACUGACGCUGAGGCGCGAAAGCUAGGGGAGCAAACGGG